Molecule: ribosomal RNA, 253 nt
Filed under: uncultured bacterium
Lineage: Bacteria
Description: partial 16S ribosomal RNA
Rfam family: Bacterial small subunit ribosomal RNA
Source: RNAcentral
UACGAAGGUGGCAAGUGUUACUCGGAAUUACUAGGCGUAAAGGGCAGGUAGGCGGUCUCGUUAGUCUGUUGUGAAAGCUCCUUGCUUAACGGGGAGAGGCCAACAGAUACUGCGAGGCUUGAGUAUAGGAGAGGGUACUGGAAUUCCCGGUGUAGCGGUGAAAUGCGCAGAGAUCGGGAGGAACACCAAUGGCGAAAGCAGGUACCUGGACUAUUACUGACGCUCAGCUGCGAAAGCUAGGGGAGCAAACAGG